AAUCUGGUUUGUCCCUCAGAAUAACGAUCAUAUUCAUUUAUUUUUGCAUAACUUAUUCAGCCCCACAGGUACUCAAAACCUUCUGCCAAAAUACAGUCUUUUUCCCACCACAGAAGAAUAAGGCGCAGCCUCAGAGCAUGCUUUUACAGCGCUCCCAGGUCCUCAAAAGGCCUCCGAGCAUUUCGGCGGGAGCCAGACACGUCGGGAUCCCUGGGGGAUCCUGAUCUCAAUUACGCAAACAACCUGGUGAAACGCACAGCUCGGGAUAAUCCAGGACCGUGUUGUCGCGGUAGAAGCCAACAGCCCGGUGAAGCCUGGGGAGCCGGCCGGCCUGCCUGUAGCCCGGGGAGCCCAACACGCACCUUCGCGCCGCGGGCCGGGUCAGGCACCGACCCCCUCCGGCACCCCCCGCAGGGCUGGGGACGGCGGGCUGUGGCGUGAGGCAACGCAAGCGCGGGGACGAGAGCAGGGGACAAAAAAGGAUGCCGGAGAGCAAACUUCCAGUAGUUCAUUAAUCUUGCUUUCCAUCCUUGCUGACUUCUGAACUGGUGCUCCUUCUUACCCACCCCUGCGUACAUGCUGGAGCAAGCUAUGUCUUCCCAACACCUUCAGCCCACCACCACGGUGCUCGUGCUGUCUGUCCAGCAGAAGAUCAGGAGCCAUCCCACUUGCAAUUCUGUUAAGAUUAUUAUUAAUAUUUUGCUUUCACAGCCUCACAGGUGAGAAGGAGCUUGUUUCUUCUCUUGGGUUACUCUGAUCAUUGUCUACCUUUGCAUUCCAUUAUAAGAAGUUCAAAUUUGGACUUGCGCCAUCCUUUUUGUAUGCUAUCUUUUGGGAAAAAUGCUAACAGCUUUGCAGUCCGCUGCAGGUAAAACUACAGCUUUUUACUUUCUUAAAAGUGAAAGUUUGUUAUAAUUCACAGUAUUUAUCUGUUAAAUGUACAACUGGUAGACUUCUGCCAUUCCUAUACUAGAAAUUAUUAAAGAAAGAAAAAGUUGCUUUUAGGGGAGGCCUGGGCAUAAUGAAGUAUGCUUAGUGAUACCUGAGGGGCUCUUAGCGACCAAGUAGGAAGACAUUUCAAUUCAUUUUUCAAUUACUUUUCAAGAAUGUAGUCGUUGAGACUUGUAGGUCACAAGUCAUAACAGAUGAAUACAGAGAACACCAUGGGUGUGUCUGCACCAGGAGCUUGGUGUCCAGCGUGGGCUAGUUUUAAGCUGCAUCCUGUUAGUGCACUUACAUUAGAACUGAUAGGACAACUGAUAGCUUAGGAAUCUGGUGUUAAGAGGCUCCUAUAAAUGAAUCAUCAAUUAAAGUCUGGGUAAAUACUAAAGCAAUUGAAAAUUAUCUUGUGUUAAAUGCUUUGUUUCUUACAUGAAGCCAGAUCUGUUUGCUUUUUGGUGGGUUAAGGAACACUCUUAGAAGAACUAUUGCUAUAAUUGACAGCAUGUCUGAAAGAACAGAAGAAACACCAGGUUUACAAAGUGACAGAAGCCAACUCCAGAAUAUGUCUACCUCGGCAGUGAUGCCUGUAUAUGAAGGCUGAGGUAUGCUGUAAAAAAUAAAUCCUGUUCACAGUGCUUUAAAAUAAACUUCAGAAAAAAUAGUGAAUUUGAUAAACAGUAUAUACAUAUUUGUACAAACCUACAUAAAGUAAAUAAAAAUAUUUUUGUAAAAUAUAUAUGAGAUUUUCAUAAUGGGCAAAAUUCCUAAAUACUUUCACAUUUCAAUUGCAUGUCAACAUUUCAUACAACUAUUGAGAACGAAAGUCUAAUGUUUCAUCUAAACUUUGGGAUUAAAUGCUACUGAUUUGUACCCACAAUCACUUUUCAAGAUUUGAAGAUUCUUCUUGCUCGGAGGUGGGCAAGAACCCCUUCUAAAGCCCACAUUCACUCUAAAGCUAGUGCAAUCUGAUUCAGUUACCACCACAUAACAGAUAAAGCUGCUGUUGCAUAAACAUCAUAGAACUGAGCUCUAUAGUUCUGAAGCUAUUUGGAUUACAGCUAGAAUCUCGGAUAAAUUUUGCUACAGAUGUAUGAGUACUGGUUUCUUCUACCUUUUGGACAAGUUGGGUUACCGUUACAGAAUUUUCUGCCUUUUUUAACCACAUUCUUUAUCAGACCACUAGAAUACAAGAGAUUUUUCUAACUACACCACAGAUAGAAGCUUAAUGAUUUGGAAAAGAUUAACAUGAACAAGAUACUAAAAAGUAAAUUCCUCUGGCAUUGUGCUGAAAAUCUUAAGCAGGAAAUGUUUGUUCUUCCCGUCAAGGUUGGACGACUGUAUUUUGUCAAGUUGUCUUUUUUGUAUUCUCUUCCAACAAUUUUACAGGGCUCUCUUCAGAAGUGUAAUGAAGUGUCAUGUCUUGCUAAUCACAAUAAAUAAGAAUAUGGAAAUGAAAAA
This is a long non-coding RNA of Grus americana (Whooping crane), 2400 nucleotides long. RefSeq lists it as uncharacterized. The record is from RefSeq and is a predicted model, not a curated record. The transcript has 2 exons. NCBI's taxonomy places the organism in Eukaryota, Metazoa, Chordata, Aves, Gruiformes, Gruidae.